CUGUGGAGUUUGCUGAACUGUCUGAGGUUAUGUUUUAGAGACUACUUGAUAUGUGCUCGAGAAUAUUUUGAGCAAAUCGAUCAUCAAAAACUUCAUAUGGGAUAUGGACUUGGGUAAUUCAAUACUCUCUUAUCUUUGAAUUUUGGGUGUCGAAUUUACAUGAAAUGUUCACAAAUCGACUAACUUGGAUCUUGAUCUGAUAAAUAUUAUAUUAAAAAUAUUUUAUCUACCUUACUGAUGGACAUGAGAUAUUC
RNAcentral lists this long non-coding RNA (254 nucleotides) under Elaeis guineensis (African oil palm). RNAcentral describes it as "long non-coding RNA (EGUI_LNC068158)". Lineage: Eukaryota; Viridiplantae; Streptophyta; Magnoliopsida; Arecales; Arecaceae. The record is from RNAcentral.